AAAAGUUAAUACACAGCAAUAAUGUAAAAUAUUUCAAAACCAAAAUUGAACAUUGGUAGUAAUUUUUGGGUAAGAAUAUCAAUGAAAACUUUCUUGUUCUUGUGCACUACUUGAAAAUAUCUGAUAAUACAACAUCAUCUUUUUAGGGUUUAGGGUUUAGGGUAAAAUGUUCCAACUUCGGAUCCAAGAUUUCAAAAAAAAAUAUUUGUUAGUGUACAACGGCAGUUGGAUUGUAUUUAAGUACGAAGAUUUUUUAUAAAUAGGAUAUUAAAAAAUUGUUUAUUUAAAGAUA
This 292-nucleotide long non-coding RNA is filed under the name Physcomitrium patens. RNAcentral describes it as "long non-coding RNA (PPAT_LNC000524)". The record is from RNAcentral. Lineage: Eukaryota; Viridiplantae; Streptophyta; Bryopsida; Funariales; Funariaceae.